Molecule: non-coding RNA, 21 nt
Organism: Caenorhabditis elegans
Lineage: Eukaryota; Metazoa; Nematoda; Chromadorea; Rhabditida; Rhabditidae
Source: Ensembl
UGAGCAGUGAUUUAAAUUGGC